RNAcentral lists this long non-coding RNA (4987 nucleotides) under Sus scrofa (pig). RNAcentral describes it as "lncRNA (ENSSSCG00050055502.1)". Lineage: Eukaryota; Metazoa; Chordata; Mammalia; Artiodactyla; Suidae. The record is from RNAcentral.
ACAGAGAGCCAUCUGCCUAAUGUGAUGCCUAUAUUGUUUUAUCUGAAAAGAUAAUGGUAUGUCAAAAAUGGAAUCCAUUCUUGCUCACUUUAUUCUGAGUGCAGUUUAAAGAUAAACAUAUUAGAGAAAUGACUUCAGAUAUGAAAGUAGUAAAACUAUGAAAUAAUUUAAUUCUCUUAUUGGUUUACUAGUGUUCCUGUGUCAGAAAAAAAUUUAUUGCUUUUGCUUAGUUUUCCCCAUUUUUAAAUGGAAUCAGUGUAGUCCAUCCAAAACUCAUGAAAAGAACGAUUUGUUUUCUUGAAAGAAUAUAGAAUUUUAAAAGAUCUGGAGCCCUUGGAUCUUGGGUAUCUUUUAUGACUAAAAUGUUAUUAGUUGUAUUGUGAAUUCUUUUUUGCAUGCUAUUUUUGAUAGAUGUGAUCUAUGUCAAUUUGAGCAGGUAAAAUUAUUAUCUGAUUUUUCAGUGUCCUAAUAAAAUAAUAAAAAUGUAUCCUCCUAUUUUAUCUUUACAAGGUAACUACAAAUGUCUUUUAGAAGUCUGCUAUCCUAAAGGAACAAAAUCCUAUAGUAUAUAGGAAUUCUCCUAACAAAGAUUUGUAUUUUUACCUAUACUAGCUUUCUUCUUUCCUCUUAACUCCUUUAUGCAUUAUUACCAAAUUGUAGUUCUGAAAUCAUCUGUUAUUUCUACCUUUGUUUUACAGAUUUACCAGUAUUGAUAACUGGGACCGUCAGGUAAGUAAAAGGACCCUCUCAGAAAGGAUGAGCUGUAAUCAAUUUAGAAAUCAUCUUUCAUUUGUCUGAUUGGGUAGGGCAAGGGUUAUGGUUCCUUCAGUGGGGUAGGAAGGCAUAAUUAUUAUUUUUAUUUUGCAAAGUAGAAAACCAAAAGCACAGAAUGGAACUGGUCACGUGACUAAGAGCUCACAUCCAUGAACUCAGCCCAUUGGAAGUUGCAUUUUAUAACUUUCGUGAGUUUUAAGUAUAUGUAUCCCUCUGCUAGAUAUCAAAGUGAGAAGCUAAAAGCACAUCGCUGUGAUGCAAAUCAAAAUCCACCAUCUUACUAUCAGUGCUUCCUUCAGGAAGUUGUACCUGAAAAAGCAUUCUUCUAGGACUAGUGGAAACCUAGCAAGCACUUUGGAAUAAACUUAGUUGCACAAACCAGUCUGUGAAUAGAUUCAGUUCAGUUCAACAAAUAUCUCCUGAGCAAGUCCGAUGUGUUGGGCACUAGGGUAGGGGAUUGGAUUGAAGAAUAAACAAGGUUUUGCAAUACAGUGGAUGAGACAGACAAGAACAAUUUUUGUUUGUUUUGGCUGUGGUGUGCAGUGGCUCAAUGAGGGACCUCAGUUCCCAGACCAGGGAUUGAACCUGGCCGCCACAGUGAAAAUGCUGAGUCUCAACCACUAGACCACCAAGAAAGCUAUAAUUCUUAAAUUAUAAAGAGUGAUUUAAGAGUACAAGGGAAGGGCGUUUUGCUACAGGUUACUGAAAUUGAAUCCAAUAUACAGGGUUAGCUAGGAGAACAGACUAAAACAUUUUGUACCAAUCGCUCAGCAAAGCUUUGGAGUAAAAAAUUGGUGUGAAUACUAGUAGUUCCAUGUUUUAAAUCUAGCAGUGGUUGCAACAAAAUGAUUUACAGAAAGGGUAAAAACAAAAACAAGUUUAACCAAGGAAGUGAGAUUCUUUACCAAGAAGAAUCUGGCAAUCAUGAUCUGUCUUUGGGCAUUCCUCAGUUUACCACAUUCUUUAAGUCUGCUUGGUGCAUAUGCUCCUUUAUGCUCAGUUUUAAAUUUCAGAUAAGAAGCUGAUUCUUAAAAAUGAAAACAACCUAUUGAUAUUUAUUUAUUCAUAAGAAUUCUAAAGGGACAGCAGCAAGAUGGGCUCAGGCAGUUAAAAAUGUGUGGGGUAUGUGUGUGCGUGUGUGUGUUUUCACACAUCCCAAACAAUACAACUCUAUUUGCAUUAAACUUAUUAAGUCAAAUCAAUUUUACAGACAUACUGGUUAGAGUUUUGGCACUUAAUUCCUCUUGAUAGUCCACCUGGUAAAUUUCAUUUCCCACUGUGCUUCCCUGCAACCUAUUUUUAACAUUGUGUUUGUUUGGACAUCAUUAACAAAGAGAAGAGCCUCCUUGGAGUUGUAAAGUACAGAAGAGCAAUUCAGAUAUUGCAGUGAGAAAACAGUCACAUUCACAUACUCAGGUCUUUUGUCACAUAGUCAAAUAAGGUUGAAAUAUAUUUACUCAUGAGGUCUGAGAAUAUUUAGUUAUUAGGUAGACAUCAACUGUGCACAGAUUCAUGAGCUACAUAGGGAUAAAGAGAAAUCCAUACCAUACUUCUUAUUCCCCCUAUAUAUGUAUCUUUUGAGGGGGCCAUGCCAAGGGCAUGCAGAAGUUUCUGGGCCAGGGAUCAAACUCCAGCCAUAGCAGUGACAGUGCCAGAUCCUUAACCUACUGAGGCACCAGGAAACUCCCCAAAAUAAGUGUCUUAGAUGGGAAGCAACAAUUCUUAAUUGUUGAGGAUCUGUUAUAUGCUGGCUCAGUGACAGACAUUUAGUUAUACCUUACUUCAUUUAAUUUUCAGAGCAACACUGUAAAGUGGGGAAAUAAAACUCAGAAAAGUGAAGCAGUCUGCUGCCAGUCAUAUGGCGAGAAUUCAAACCAGGAUCUGACUCCAGGCCAGUGCUCUUUGUAUUACCCCUGCCUCACUGAGGCUUCUAACAAAAUCAUACACCAUGGAAGGUUAAUGACCAUAAGGCAAUUUAGCAGUGACCCCAAGAAAAUAAUUGCAAAAAUUCACGUUUAUGAGAUAUAAAAAAAUAAGAGAUAUUUGUUUUUUAAAGGAAUUUGAAUAAGAAAUAAGAAUAUUUAUUAUAAAGAUGUGUAGAUCACCUACUAUGUGCCAGGCAUUCGAGAGAGAAGUAUGAGAUUUGCCCCCUGGUCUGAGUCCAGGACUUGUUUUAUUCCCAACUACUGAACAGCCUCCUCCCAAACUUCCUUACACGCUUGCAGCCACAAAGUCACGAGCAGCCUUGCAAGUGAGGUAGAUCUUAGCAGACAGGAUGUGUGAGCGAGAAACUAAAAAGUUACACGUUUUCCAUUUAAACAACCUUCUACAGACCUUCUCUCUGCAUGUGAAUUGGGAUUCAUUACUAAAAGCUGCUUAACUCACUGUGACCUAAGAAUUGAUAUAUGGUCCUAGAUGUUAUACAACCAAGGAAAUAUCUGCCUUUGGGAGGGAGGUCAUUUGAACUUAGAAGUUUGAAACUUAAAAAAAAAGCAAUGAAAAUAUAUAUUACUAGAAUUAAAGAAUGUGCCCUAGAUAGGUUCUUUUGUCCACAGUUUCCCAGAUUAGAAAUGUUAGGUAGGAUUCUCACUUGUAAAGUAGUUUAAGCACACGCUUCCUAAACAUUAUUUUCUACAAUGUUAAGUUUCAUCUGCUUUAAACCUUGUGAUGAUAAGUCUGCUCACGUUAUGCCUUUCCAUAAAGCUCAAAAUCCCCAUCUCAGUAUCAGGCUUAUCUAUCAACCCAGCUAAAUUACCCAUCACAAGAGGCCACCACUGUGAGGCAGGAAGUAGGGAGGGUAAUUUUUCUGGAUUUAACGACCACACACUGUCUUAGAAAGCAUUGUUGAGGGUUGUCAAGAGAAGAUAUAUGCCAAUUUUUAUGAGGUUGCCACCAACCUUGAAUAUUUUGAAUGAGCAGCUCCUAGAUUGUAGGAUAUUUAUUUAUAUUUAUAUUUAUAUUUAUAUUCAUUCUUGUAUUUGGAUCUGGAUUGAGCCCUUGUUUUAAGAGAAUAAGACUUUGUUGGACCAUCCUGGUUCUAUAAAUGAUGCAAAUGUAAGUGUCUUCAGGCAGCUUAGUAAACUUUCAAUCUCUCCAAAAACCCAUAGAAAAAUCCAAGGGCAUUUGAAAACAAGUUUAGAAAUGAUGCAAGAGCACCCUGCCUGACCUCUAGCAUUCCCUUUUGGUGGUAGGAAGGUGGUCAUGGUGAAGCAGUAGUAAUUGUUCUGAGGUCAUGUUAGAGUUGAUGCUCAUAUAGUGCACAGAGAUGAAUAAUAUUUGUCUUGAAGGGAUCUAAGCCAAGUUGUCCAGCCACGAUUACUAGAUUCCUUUUGAUAAAUAUGAAUAACCUCUAAUAAUUGGAGGUAAGGGAGAAAAGAUAUGUUUCUUUCCCCUACAUCAUUAACAUAAAAUAAAAAAAAAUCCCAGACUGACCUCUGUCACACAUAGUAUGUUUAGUUUUCCAGCAAGUAUGAAACAUAGGCACAAACCCUUCCAUAGGCUUAAACAGUCCCUUGGGUGUCCUAACAAAUCUUAAAAUCAGAAGUUAACCUCCAGGCAGGUGUGAUCCUGUUCCAGCUAACCAGGUUAAUCUGAGUCAUGACUAAAAAUCUACUGGCUUAACACAAGACCUUUCAGGAACAAGAUCUGGGUAGUCAAUUCUAUGGGUCAGGGAUGAAAGGCUUGUCUAGAUUCCUAUAUGGUAUUCAUGCAUUUUAUUCCGCAGUGUUUCAGCCCAUCCAUACGACAUACUUUUCUGCAAAGAAACACAAUCUCUAACAUUUGUUCCACAAAUGAGCAUAUGAACAUUCAUAAAUAUAUCUGAACCUUGUGUUGGCCACCUCUGGAAAACAUCCCUUUGACGAGAUACUAGCUAAUCUUCCCUGGAGGGAGUACCUGUUAGAGCAUUUGAUCAAAUGUCAGGUGUAGACUUUAACUAACAUUGCUGUGAAGGGAGGUUAUUUUUAUAGUAUAAAUGGACGUCAAAGAUUUGGAGAUUUUUUUUGUUUACUUAAAAUUUCCUAUAUAUCUAGUAAAUUCUUUCUCAUUAUAUUUCAAUUAUAGUCCAAGGAAUUAAUUUACAUAAUGCUAAGAUCUUAAAACUCACAGUAAACAACACUGACACUUUCUUAAGAAUUGAAAUAGAGUAGAAUCUAGCCCAUUUGUUCAUUGCACUUCAACUAAUUUCUUAAGGAAAUAAGACUGUAGCAUAGAG